GAUGGACGCUGGCGGCGUGCCUAAUACAUGCAAGUCGAGCGAACGGACGAGAAGCUUGCUUCUCUGAUGUUAGCGGCGGACGGGUGAGUAACACGUGGAUAACCUACCUAUAAGACUGGGAUAACUUCGGGAAACCGUAGCUAAUACCGGAUAAUAUUUUGAACCGCAUGGUUCAAAAGUGAAAGACGGUCUUGCUGUCACUUAUAGAUGGAUCCGCGCUGCAUUAGCUAGUUGGUAAGGUAACGGCUUACCAAGGCAACGAUGCAUAGCCGACCUGAGAGGGUGAUCGGCCACACUGGAACUGAGACGCGGUCCAGACUCCUACGGGAGGCAGCAGUAGGGAAUCUUCCGCAAUGGGCGAAAGCCUGACGGAGCAACGCCGCGUGAGUGAUGAAGGUCUUCGGAUCGUAAAACUCUGUUAUUAGGGAAGAACAUAUGUGUAAGUAACUGUGCACAUCUUGACGGUACCUAAUCAGAAAGCCACGGCUAACUACGUGCCAGCAGCCGCGGUAAUACGUAGGUGGCAAGCGUUAUCCGGAAUUAUUGGGCGUAAAGCGCGCGUAGGCGGUUUUUUAAGUCUGAUGUGAAAGCCCACGGCUCAACCGUGGAGGGUCAUUGGAAACUGGAAAACUUGAGUGCAGAAGAGGAAAGUGGAAUUCCAUGUGUAGCGGUGAAAUGCGCAGAGAUAUGGAGGAACACCAGUGGCGAAGGCGACUUUCUGGUCUGUAACUGACGCUGAUGUGCGAAAGCGUGGGGAUCAAACAGGAUUAGAUACCCUGGUAGUCCACGCCGUAAACGAUGAGUGCUAAGUGUUAGGGGGUUUCCGCCCCUUAGUGCUGCAGCUAACGCAUUAAGCACUCCGCCUGGGGAGUACGACCGCAAGGUUGGAACUCAAAGGAAUUGACGGGGACCCGCACAAGCGGUGGAGCAUGUGGUUUAAUUCGAAGCAACGCGAAGAACCUUACCAAAUCUUGACAUCCUUUGACAACUCUAGAGAUAGAGCCUCCCCCUUCGGGGGACAAAGUGACAGGUGGUGCAUGGUUGUCGUCAGCUCGUGUCGUGAGAUGUUGGGUUAAGUCCCGCAACGAGCGCAACCCUUAAGCUUAGUUGCCAUCAUUAAGUUGGGCACUCUAAGUUGACUGCCGGUGACAAACCGGAGGAAGGUGGGGAUGACGUCAAAUCAUCAUGCCCCUUAUGAUUUGGGCUACACACGUGCUACAAUGGACAAUACAAAGGGCAGCGAAACCGCGAGGUCAAGCAAAUCCCAUAAAGUUGUUCUCAGUUCGGAUUGUAGUCUGCAACUCGACUACAUGAAGCUGGAAUCGCUAGUAAUCGUAGAUCAGCAUGCUACGGUGAAUACGUUCCCGGGUCU
This 1372-nucleotide ribosomal RNA is filed under the name uncultured bacterium. RNAcentral describes it as "bacterial SSU rRNA". It matches the Rfam family "Bacterial small subunit ribosomal RNA", at positions 28 to 1381 of the family's 1533-position model. The record is from RNAcentral.